Molecule: long non-coding RNA, 474 nt
Organism: Patella vulgata (common limpet)
Lineage: Eukaryota; Metazoa; Mollusca; Gastropoda; Patellidae
Exons: 3
Source: RefSeq, a predicted model, not a curated record
AUUGUCCUAAAGUAUUGCCACCUGAAAAUGGCCGUGUUAUUGCAGAAGAAAAUCAUUAUGGUGUUUCUAUAUUGUAUUUCUGUAACCCUGGUUAUAGAUUAGUAGGUUCAGCUCAACCUUAUUGUACAGCUAAUAAAACCUGGUCUAGUCCAACACCACUAUGUCAAGCAUUCCAUUGUCCAGCUAUAGAGGGGUUAUUAAAUGGUGUUGUUAAUGUAACAGGACGUGUAAAUGUUGGUCAGAUUAUAAGUAUAACAUGUAAUCAGGGAUAUCAACCAUCAUCAGAUAAUAUAUUAACAUGUACAACACAAGAAACAUAUGAUAAACCCGUACCAUCUUGUAACGAUAUAAAUGAAUGUAGUAAUAAUGCUAAUAAUAAUUGUAGUAAUCAUGAUUGUCAGAAUUUACCAGGUAGUUAUCAAUGCUCAUGUAAUAAAGGUUAUCAACAUCCUUCAUCCACAAAUACAUCUUGCC